CAUUCCCGGGCUGGGCAGUGAUUUUUUUUCUUUGUGUUGAAGCGGGUCUGGAGCGGUGGAUUGUCCACGGGAUCCGGAUCGGGAGAGGGUCCUCGCCCCCUCGGGCGGCGAGCCGGGGGGGCCGGUCGGAUCAUUCUCUGCGGAGCGGGACCGACAAGAUCCAUGCGCUAGAUCUGCAGUGAGAGAUUUAUUGGAAGAAAAGCCCACAACUGGAAGCAAACCACAACUGAAGACGAGGGAACAGCAACAAGUGAACCAGCCCGAGGACUGAGAGCACCGACUGGAGAGAACCCAUCUGACUCAGGGUUUCCAUUGAUUCAGUCAGGAGAAAGUUUGAGCAGCAAAAACUGAAAACUCCUGUCCACAAAAUCAUUUUAAUUUAUAAAUACUCUGCGGAUUCUCCGUCUGGGUUUAAUUCAAUAAUGGCAAUUCUCCAAAUAUUUGUGAAAACUGACCAGAGAGAUGAGAGUGAGAGAGUUGACAUCUUUGGGGAAAACACAGUCACACGUGGAAGGAGUACAGUUACCGUCUGCUCCUGCUCCUCUAACAUAUUGUGAUGCACAGUAAAAUAGCGAGUUACUCCAGAAGACAAGACAUUCUGCAGAUGCUGAAAGUUUUGGGCAACAAAAAGACACACAAAAUAUUGGCAGAAUUCAGCAGGUCAGGCAGCAUCCAUGGACAGGAAUAAACAGUCAACAUUUCAGAUCAGGACCACGGGGAACAGAAAGUAAUGUAACAAUAUCUAGAAUUUCUGUCCCCUCAUUUCCAGUCCGAUGAAAGGCCUUGGCCUGAAACGUUGAUUGUUAUUCUCCUCCAGAGAUGUUGCCUGAUCUGCUGAGUACCUCCAGUAUUUUGUGAGAUUUGCCAGAGAUUUGCUGAGGAAGGGUUUGACCAGGCAGGCAGACAGUAACCCAGAGCAAAGCAGUGGUGAUGGGCAGUACCAGGAGAGUGAUGGUGAUGGGUUACUAUAUUCUCAGCAAUAAGCAGAGUCCUUUCAAAACAGGGAGGUAUAUUCCUGGGGUCAUGAAAGAGCAGACUUCAACAGAUGGAACUAUACCACCUCCUACACCCCCGUCAACCCCUACCCUCCGGCCCAAACCCGUUCUCCCACAUAUAUAUUUCGGACUGUUUUGUUUUUUUUUUAAAUUUUUAUUGAGUUUUCAAAUGAUUACAGAAAGAAAAAAAAAAUAUCUACCCUUCCCCCCUCCCCUAACAUUCCUAUAGAAGAAAAUAAAAAGAAAAAGAGGAAAAAAGAAAGAAAGAAUGCCUGUAUAUCGGAAGAUCCCCACAUGCUCCAUGGAAUUCAUAAUAACUUUAGUAUAUAUAUUUAUUUCUUUCCCCAAAUAACCAAUUAUUUUAUCUUCGGAGCACCUAUAUAUUCAAUCCUGUCUUUUGUAAACAAGUGCGCCAAAUUUUUAAAAAUGUUUCAUAUUUAUCUCUUAAAUUAUAAGUAAUUUUUUUCAAGUGGAAUACAGCUGGAAAUUUCAUUCUUCCAACGAUCUAUACUUAAGUAUGAAUCUGAUUUCCAAGUAACUACAAUAGCCUUUUUGGCUACUGCCAGUGCAAUUUUUAUAAAUUCUUUCUGAUAUUUAUUCAAUUUGGGUUUCGGUUUUAUCCCUUCAAUAUCGCCGAAUAAAAAUAAUAUCGGGUUAUGUGGAAGUUGUGUUCCAAUAAUUUGUUCUCUUAAAUUUGUCCAAAAAGGUUGAAUUUUAGAACAAGACUAAGUAGAAUGUAAAAAAGUACCAAUUUCUUGGUUACAUCGGAAACAAUGAUCAGAUAAAUUUGGUUUUAAUUUAUUUAUUUUUUGUGGUGUAAUAUAUAAUUGAUGUAAAAAUUAUAUUGCACUAAUCUUAACCAGACAUUUAUUGUAUUUGUCACACUAUCAAGACAUAGUCUUGACCAAUUUGUUUCUUCCUUUUUAAUAUUCAAGUCAAUUUCCCAUUUUUGUCUUGACUUAUGGAUUCCUUGUUUAAUUGCCUGUUUUUGAAUCAAACUAUACAUAUAAGAAAUAUUUUUUUUAGUUUUUCCUUUUUGAAUUAAGUUUCUAUUUCAUUAGAUUUUGGCAAUAACAUUGUUUCACCCAAUUUUUCUCUUAAAUAAGCCCUUAAUUGGAACUAGCAAAAAAGUGUUGAUUGAUAUUUUAUUCUUUAUUCUUUAAUUGAUCAAAUGACAUUAAUAUACCUCCUUCAAAGCAAUCUCCUAUAUAUCUAAUCCCUUUCUGAAACCAAUUAUAUAAAAGUUGAUUACCAUUGUAAAAGGAAUAAGUCUAUUUUGAAUUAAAGAUCUCUUUGCUAAUAAAGAUUUCUUUAUCUCAUCAUCAACAUUUAUCUUAUUCCAGAAAUCAAUCAAAAGUUUUAAUACAGGAGAUUCUUUCUUUUCCCGUAUCCAUUUAGAUUCCCAUUUAUAUAUAAAAUCUUCUGGUGUAUUUUCUCCUAUUUUAUCUAGUUCUAUCCUAAUCCAUGCCAGUCUAUCUUUCUCAAAAAGAUGCAAUAAAUCUAAGUUGAUUUGCUUUAUAAUAAUCCUAAAAAUUUGGAAGUUGUAACCCUCCUAGAUCAAAUUUCCACGUCAAUUCUUGAUAUUCUUGACAUCGUACCUUUCCAAAGGAACUUCCUCACAUAUUUAUUUAACUCUUGAAAAAACUUCUGGGGUAGUUGUAUUGGUAGUGAUUGGAAUGAGUAUUGUAAUCUAGUGAAUAGGUUCAUUUUUAUGGUAUUUACUGUACCUACUAAUGUUAUUGGUAAUAUCAUCCAUUUAUCAAGAUCUUCUUGAUUUUUUUUCAAUAAUGGUAAAUAAUUUAAUUUAUAUAAGUUCUUUAUAUCAUUAUCAACUCUUAUACCUAAAUAUUUUAUACCAUUUAUCGGCCAACUAAAUUGAGUUAUUAAUCGACAUUGACUAUAAUCUCCUUUAGUAAGAGGUAAAAUUUCACUUUUAUCACAAUUUAGUUUGUAGCCUGAUAUUUUCCCAUACUCUUCUAAUCUAGAGGAUAAUUGAUGCAACGAGUACAAUGGGUUUGUUAAAUAAAACAGAACAUCAUCAGCAAAUAAGUUAAUCUUGUAUUCCUCCUGGCUACCUCUGAAACCCUUCUGGGUCCAUUCUAAUUAAUUCAGCUAAUGGUUCUAUCCCCAACACAAAUACAGCAGGUGAUAAUGGACAACCUUGCCUAGUUGACCUUGUUAACUGAAAUGGUCUUGAAAUUUGACCAUUUGUCACUACCUCAGCUUUGGGAUUAUUAUUUAAGGUUUUAAUCCAUUUUAUAAAGGAUACUCCUAAUCCAUAUCUUUCUAAUACCUUAAAUAAAAAAUCCCAUUCAAAUCUAACAAAUGCUUUUUCUGCAUCUAAAGCAACUGCCACACUCAUUUCCUCCCUCUUUUGAGCCAAAUGAAUUAUGCUAAAUAACUGAGUUACGUUAUCUGCUGAUUGUCUAUUUUUAAUAAAUCCUGUUUGAUCCAUGUGUAUUAAUUUUGGUAAGUAUUUAGAUAA
Hypanus sabinus (Atlantic stingray) is the source of this 3480-nucleotide RNA transcript. It is a transcript of the gene named NACHT, LRR and PYD domains-containing protein 3-like, with no coding region annotated. The transcript has 3 exons. NCBI's taxonomy places the organism in Eukaryota, Metazoa, Chordata, Chondrichthyes, Myliobatiformes, Dasyatidae. The record is from RefSeq and is a predicted model, not a curated record.